RNAcentral lists this transfer RNA (67 nucleotides) under Marmota monax (woodchuck). RNAcentral's name for it is "tRNA.Phe". Lineage: Eukaryota; Metazoa; Chordata; Mammalia; Rodentia; Sciuridae. The record is from RNAcentral.
ACAAUAUAGCUCAAGGGUAGAACAUUUGCUUAAAAUGCACAAGGCCCUGAGUUCAAUCCCCAGUGAA